Molecule: ribosomal RNA, 465 nt
Filed under: uncultured bacterium
Lineage: Bacteria
Description: partial 16S ribosomal RNA
Rfam family: Bacterial small subunit ribosomal RNA
Source: RNAcentral
GACGAACGCUGGCGGCGUGCUUAACACAUGCAAGUCGAACGGAAAGGCCCCUUCGGGGGUACUCGAGUGGCGAACGGGUGAGUAACACGUGGGUAACCUGCCCUUGACUUCGGGAUAACUUCAGGAAACUGGGGCUAAUACCGGAUAGGAAUCCUUGCUGCAUGGUGGGGGUUGGAAAGCUUCGGCGGUUUUGGAUGGACUCGCGGCUUAUCAGCUUGUUGGUGGGGUAGUGGCUUACCAAGGCUUUGACGGGUAGCCGGCCUGAGAGGGCGACCGGCCACAUUGGGACUGAGAUACGGCCCAGACUCCUACGGGAGGCAGCAGUGGGGAAUAUUGCACAAGGGGCGGAAGCCUGAUGCAGCAACGCCGCGUGCGGGAUGACGGCCUUCGGGUUGUAAACCGCGUUCAGCAGGGGCGAAGCUUGUGGUGACGGUACCUGCAGAAGAAGCACCGGCUAACUACGUG